RNAcentral lists this ribosomal RNA (332 nucleotides) under uncultured bacterium. RNAcentral describes it as "bacterial SSU rRNA". It matches the Rfam family "Bacterial small subunit ribosomal RNA", at positions 568 to 898 of the family's 1533-position model. The record is from RNAcentral.
CACGCAGGCGGUCGUGCCAGUUUCCUCUGACAGGUUGGAGCUUAACUCUGACAGGCGAGGAAAGACGACACGACUUGAGGACUUCAGAGGGACGUGGAAUUCCAGGUGGAGCGGUGAAAUGCGUAGAGAUCUGGAAGAACACCAAAGGCGAAGGCAACGUCCUGGGAAGUCACUGACGCUCAAGUGCGAAAGCUAGGGGAGCGAACGGGAUUAGAUACCCCGGUAGUCCUAGCCGUAAACGAUGACCACUAGACGAGGGAGGCUUCGACCCCUUCCGUGUCGCAGCUAACGCGAUAAGUGGUCCGCCUGGGGAGUACGGUCGCAAGAUUAAA